This 460-nucleotide ribosomal RNA is filed under the name uncultured bacterium. RNAcentral's name for it is "partial 16S ribosomal RNA". It matches the Rfam family "Bacterial small subunit ribosomal RNA", at positions 338 to 795 of the family's 1533-position model. The record is from RNAcentral.
CCUACGGGAGGCAGCAGUGAGGAAUAUUGGUCAAUGGGCUUACGCCUGAACCAGCCAAGUCGCGUGAGGGAAGACUGCCCUAUGUGUUGUAAACCUCUUUUGUCAGGGAGCAAUUGGCGCUACGUGUAGCGUUAUCGAGAGUACCUUAAGAAACAGCAUCGGCCAACUCCGUGCCAGCAGCCGCGGUAAUCCGGAGGAUGCGAGCGUUAUCCGGAUUAUUUGGGUUAAAAGGGUGCGUAGGCGCAAUGCCAAGUCAGCGGUAAAAUCGUGGGGCUCAACCUCGGUCCGCCGUUGAAACUGGCGUUCUUGAGUGGGCGAGAAGUAUGCGGAAUGCGUGGUGUAGCGGUGAAAUGCAUAGAUAUCACGCAGAACUCCGAUUGCGAAGGCAGCAUACCGGCGCCCAACUGACGCUGAAGCACGAAAGCGUGGGUAUCGAACAGGAUUAGAUACCCCAGUAGUC